Molecule: long non-coding RNA, 486 nt
Organism: Vigna unguiculata (cowpea)
Lineage: Eukaryota; Viridiplantae; Streptophyta; Magnoliopsida; Fabales; Fabaceae
Source: RefSeq, a predicted model, not a curated record
GGAAAGUUUGUGUUGUGUUUUGUUGUUUUUGAGCAACCGCUUUGGGAUCUGGCUACAAAACAUAACUUGAGCAUCCACACUGAGUUCUGAGAAGAAGAUGGCACCGAUCACCACCUACUUCCUCAUGCUCAUCUCCUCUGUCUUCUACGUCUUCUCCGACGCUCGUCUCGCCCUCGAAGAACUCACUGCUCAACAUCAUCUUCUCUUUCCAUACUCUUCACUGAGUUUCACCGUCAACCACCAUGAAUAUCCAAUCCUUCUCUGAAUCAUACUACGUCUCUCUCUUCUCACUUUUUCACCUUUUCUUACUUCUGCAACUCUGCUGUUUUACAAAUUUGUCUGGUUGGAAGAGAAAUAAAAACUGGUAAGUUUGAUAUGUAACAUGAUUAGGAAAAUGGAGCCAUAUAGAGGUAGAAAUGUCUGUGUUUGUAAGAUCUUUUUAUUUUCUUAGUAAAUUACACUCCACUCUUCUGGAGUUCAAUCAAA